Molecule: ribosomal RNA, 428 nt
Filed under: Bacteroidota bacterium
Lineage: Bacteria; Pseudomonadati; Bacteroidota
Description: Bacteroidetes bacterium partial 16S ribosomal RNA
Rfam family: Bacterial small subunit ribosomal RNA
Source: RNAcentral
UAGGGAAUCUUCCGCAAUGGGCGAAAGCUUGACGGAGCAACGCCGCGUGAGUGAUGAAGGUCUUCGGAUCGUAAAACUCUGUUAUUAGGGAAGAACAAAUGUGUAAGUAACUAUGCACGUCUGGACGGUACCUAAUCAGAAAGCCACGGCUAACUACGUGCCAGCAGCCGCGGUAAUACGUAGGUCCCGAGCGUUGUCCGGAUUUAUUGGGCGUAAAGCGAGCGCAGGCGGUUAGAAAAGUCUGAAGUGAAAGGCAGUGGCUCAACCAUUGUAGGCUUUGGAAACUGUUUAACUUGAGUGCAGAAGGGGAGCGUGGAAUUCCAUGUGUGGCGGUGAAAUGCGUAGAUAUAUGGAAGAACACCAGUGGCGAAGGCGACUCUCUGGUCUGUAACUGACGCAGAGGCUCGAACGCGUGGGUAGCAAACAGG